Molecule: long non-coding RNA, 2142 nt
Filed under: Homo sapiens (human)
Lineage: Eukaryota; Metazoa; Chordata; Mammalia; Primates; Hominidae
Description: HSALNT0371773
Source: RNAcentral
CUCUUGACCUUGUGAUCCGCCCAUCUUGGCCUCCCAAAGUGCUGGGAUUACAGGAGUGAGCCACCGCACCCAGCUCUUCUUUGAGUUUUUAAGGCCACAUAAGCUGUGGAUGUUAUAGAAUUUCUUAUUUCCCUGGGCAGCAACUGGGCCUCUAUUGAGACCCAAAUGCCCUCUUCAGAGGGAACUACGAGGUCAACAAGCACAAUCCCCACAUGUGCAGUGAAGUCUCCAUACGUCCACUCUGGAGGAGGAGAUGACAAGGCAGGGAGGCUGUCAUUUCCUACUUGGGCGGACCCUUCUAGGGGCGGUCUGCUCUGGCCCCUCCGCAAUUCCAGUCAGCAGCCUAGCAUGUCACUCUGGGAGGACCGCAGGAACUAGCAAAUCCAAUAUUCUGCUUACAAAUGGAGAGACGGAGGCCCCAAGAAGAAAGCUAAGAGGUACCAUCAUCAAAGGUAAGGUGAUGGGAAGCUGCCCCAUGCCUCGGUGUUCCACUAUGAGACAGAAGACACAGUGGUUAUAACUGCCACUUACCACUGAUUGUUAAACUCAACUUCAUUUCUUUUUAUUUUUUGCCUUUGCCAUGAUAGAUUUUAUAUCUUAUCACCACAACUGUGUGGUGAUGUGGUUUGGAUGUGUGUCCCCUCCAAAUCUCAUGUUGAAAUGUGGUCCCCAGUGUUGGAGGUGGGGCCUGAUGGGAGGUGUUGGAUCAUGGCAGUGGAUUCCUCAUGCAUGGCUUGGCACUCUCUCCUUGGUGAUGAGUUCCUGCUCUGAGAUGACAACUCAGAUAACUCCAUGCUGUGGUGCUAGCACCUGAGAGACCCAUGACCGAGAGAUCUGCCCCCACAUAUAAAUCCAGAGGGAUGGGGCUGGCCUGCUGCUUCUCUUCAAGAACCAGUAGAGGCUGACGCUGCAGAGAGGGCAGCACCCCAGGGUCAAGGAAAUCACCAACAGAGGGGACCAGCAGGGGUCACCUAAGACCCCAGAACAAGAGAAACCUUUCUUAAUUUGCCACAUCCAGUGAGUUCAAUAGAAGCCUCCUGUUUCAGCCAGGGGUCCCCAGGGAAGCAGAGUAACAGGACAUGCGUGGAUAUGGAAGUGGACAUAAGCACGGGAAUGGAUGAAUAUGGAUAUGGAUAUUGAUAUAGAGAGAGGUCUGCCUCCACCCCAAGAGGACCUCGUGGACGUGGUGCCUCAGGCUCCACCAUCCCCAGGAGAAGAGUGCCAUGCUUGGACUCGUUUUUGCUGUUUUUGGGACAGUGGUGCCAUUCCCCUCCCGUGACUGACUCCUGCGUGCAGUCCCUAAUCUGCCCAUCACCGCCGGGGCACUGUCCACAGCAUUCUGUUGAUUUCCUCCACACUGUCUAACACAACCUGAAACAACCUCAUCUGCCCACCACGUCUCAUCUGUGCCUCCCUGCCUGGAACGGAGCUGCAGGAAGGCAGCGAUGUUUGUCUGGAGUGUCCACCCCCUGGUUGCAGGUUCCCUGUUCGCUGGUGCGGGUCUAUGAGGAGGAAACACACAGAAACCAAAAGAUGGAAUCAGGCUGUCUCGGGCCACUUCCUUCCGCCACAGCUCUGCCUGGAGUGCCAGCCCCAGCACAGGUGAAUACACAGAACCAGCGCCUCCCUCCUGGAGCUUUCCUGGGGAGACCAGUGAGGGUGAACAAGGAAGCGGAUAGAGAACUCCCCGCAGCGUAAGUGCAGUGGGGACAUUUGUGGCAGGGAGUGCCUGGGGAGGGUGGUCGGGGAAGGCUGCCCCAAGGAGUUAUCAUCUGAGCAAGACCCAAAAUUGUAAGAAGUAGCACGCGGCGCUCCCAGGGAAGAGCAUGCCAGGCUGGAGGCCCUGCGGAGGGGACAAGUUCAGCAGCUUGGAGGACCAGAGAGAAAUCCAGCUCCUGCCUCCUAACUCACACAGCCCUGGUUAUAGCCUUUUGUUAUCACGUUGGGGCAGUUUAGGCCUCAGGAAGCUGAAUCUCAAGACCCUAAUCUGACUGUGGGUCAGAAGAUCCUCAUUCCAGGGUGGGUUCUGCCUCAUCCCCUAGAGGAAGAAAUGCUGCCGAGAAGCUGAGAAGAGUCUGGGCCAGGCGUGGUGGCUCAUGCCUGUAAUCCCAAGACUGGGAGCCCAAGGCGGGCAGAUCACCU